Long non-coding RNA from Papaver somniferum (opium poppy), 615 nucleotides. RefSeq lists it as uncharacterized. NCBI's taxonomy places the organism in Eukaryota, Viridiplantae, Streptophyta, Magnoliopsida, Ranunculales, Papaveraceae. The record is from RefSeq and is a predicted model, not a curated record. The transcript is spliced from 2 exons.
UCGAACAAAACCCAUUCUUUCUCUUUUCCUUCUCUCUAUUUCUCUUCUUCUUCUCUAUUCCGCUUCUGGCUUCUCCUUCUUUCUGUCGAUCUCAGUUCAAAAGAACUGAGUUAUUCUUGUGUGAGAUGUUCAUAGAAAAUUAGGUGGCUUGAUGAAUCAAACAAGACGAAGUUAGAACUGGUGUUGUUCAAGCUUCUGGGGAAGAAGAAGGUGAUGUUAAUCUUGAAUUGAAGUUAAGGUUUCUGAAGUUAGGGUUCGUGUAGAACUGAUGAUGAUUUAGUGUUGCCGAUGGAUGAAGAAAAGAAGGGUUUUCGUCAAAUCGAUGAAGUGAAACUGUUUUGAUGCGGAAUCGAAAGAAAAAGUUUUUCAGUUAUCAGAAGAGACGGUGCUCGCGAAGAUGUUCGUUUUCUUAACUUAAAGAUUUAGAGUUGAUGCGAAUAAUAUGAACCACUUUAGGUCUGUGCAUUCUGUUUGUAAUUCACAAAUACAUUAUUUUAUUAUUAUAACUUGAGAGAUCCUUCAUUUACUUUUGCUCGAGUGGUGGGUUUAGUUUUUGGGUUAAGUUUUGUAUCUGAUUUCUAAUUUGGAAUUUAAUUAUACGAUUUAGAGCCUUAA